This 1403-nucleotide long non-coding RNA is filed under the name Triticum aestivum (bread wheat). Its description in RNAcentral is "long non-coding RNA (TAES_LNC003102)". The record is from RNAcentral. Lineage: Eukaryota; Viridiplantae; Streptophyta; Magnoliopsida; Poales; Poaceae.
UGCUGGUAUGGUCAUGGUAAGAGAUCCUCCUCCAUGCCUCAUGGGAUGCAAUAUCAUGCUUGCUCUUGUGAAAUUAAUGAUGAUGCUCUGAAUGUUAUUUCUAUUGCCAUUGUGGAUUAGCUUCUGCCCCGCAAAUGCUAUUGGCAUGUUGCAUUCCUUGACUCCGUAGAUGAGUAGAAUUAUCAUGAGUAGUAUACAACCUGAGAUGUCUGAUUGUAUACAACCUGCACCUCGAAAUUGAUAUGUUCCAAGCUAUGUCUUUGAUUGAAAAGGAUUCUUCACUAUAAACUCUUCUAUCUGUGAUAAGUGCAACUAGAAGAAUUAGUCACAUCUAAAAUUCUGUAAUCCCUAAUAGCUGAAAAUUGAGCAUUACAAAGUUUCAUAUCUGUGUGGCACUACUUUCUAGAGCUUUGCUCCACUCUCAAUUUCUUUAGAAUUACAGAGAUCCGUGGCAAUGCUUUAGAGAACUAUCUGAUCUGUUUUAGAAUGUGAGAUCAAUUGAUAUACAGUGGCAAUGCUUUUGAGAUCUAGCUAUGUGUAACUAUUUUAUUCUAGGAACCUCCCUUCUGAAUCAUGCACAGUGCCUGUUACUAUGGCAAUGAAUUUUAUCUAUGCACAGUGCCUGUUUAUAAGAAGUAUUGAUGCAUGUGUUUGAAUGGCUGAGUAGUGAACUAUAUCAUGAAAGUAUGGAAUGGCUGAGUAGUGCAUAUUCAGGCUCUCACCGUCUAGUAUGUGAAGAGUAAUGUAACCAAUGAAAUGUGAUAAAUGCAUCUGAAUUAGAUUGGUUUAAUUUUUGUACCUGAAAUGCCCACAACCAAAUGUGCAUGAAUAUUUAGAAUGAGACACCAAUUGAAGAUGAACAUGUUCAUUGUUACAUUGUUGCUUCUUUCUCUUCAUGUAUUAUUAUGUGCUCUGUAAUGGUUUGGUUUUGCUUCCAUAUGAUCUGCUUAUACAUUCAGUUCCUAUGUAAUCUGAUCUGAAAUGAUUCAGUUUUUGGUUCCAUAUAGUUAAUCCGCCUCCAUGCUCUAUUCCUGUAUAAUUUUCCUGCUGUUCUUGCUGUUGUAUGUGUUCGCCUUCCAGGGACAACAUAUAUCGACAACAUAUAUAUGCUCAAUACACUCUACUUGUUUUCCUGUAUAGUUUUCUUACUUUUUUCCCUUUAUGCUCACACUUUUUGAGGAGCUCAAGGCCUAAGUUUUUCCUUUAUGUUCACUCUUUUACUGGAGCUAGAGUCCUAAUUUUUUUGAGUGUGAAGCCGUGAAGCCAAGUGCGAAGCACUGAAGCUGUACUUUGCAAAGAGUUCUUUUGGCUCUGUAGUAGAUUGUAAAAGGCUAAUGUAGUGUAAAAGGCUAAUGUAGUGUUAUUUGACGAACUAUAUUUGUUCUGUCUUGUUUGAAAUAGUG